RNAcentral lists this non-coding RNA (21 nucleotides) under Caenorhabditis elegans. The record is from RNAcentral. Lineage: Eukaryota; Metazoa; Nematoda; Chromadorea; Rhabditida; Rhabditidae.
UUUCCGAUAUUUUCUGCUAUA